CACUCCUGCGGGAGGCAGCAGUGGGGAAUUUUGGACAAUGGGCGAAAGCCUGAUCCAGCCAUGCCGCGUGCAGGAUGAAGGCCUUCGGGUUGUAAACUGCUUUUGUACGGAACGAAACGGCCUUUUCUAAUAAAGAGGGCUAAUGACGGUACCGUAAGAAUAAGCACCGGCUAACUACGUGCCAGCAGCCGCGGUAAUACGUAGGGUGCAAGCGUUAAUCGGAAUUACUGGGCGUAAAGCGUGCGCAGGCGGUUAUGUAAGACAGUUGUGAAAUCCGGGCUCAACCUGGGAACUGCAUCUGUGACUGCAUAGCUAGAGUACGGUAGAGGGGGAUGGAAUUCCGCGUGUAGCAGUGAAAUGCGUAGAUAUGCGGAGGAACACCGAUGGCGAAGGCAAUCCCCUGGACCUGUACUGACGCUCAUGCACGAAAGCGUGGGGAGCAAACAGGAUUAGAAACCCGAGUAGUCCCAUG
This 472-nucleotide ribosomal RNA is filed under the name uncultured organism. RNAcentral's name for it is "partial 16S ribosomal RNA". It matches the Rfam family "Bacterial small subunit ribosomal RNA", at positions 334 to 799 of the family's 1533-position model. The record is from RNAcentral.